UAACGAACGAGAUCUUAACCUGCUAAUUAGCGGUAAAUACACUAUAUUCUUAAGUGAAAUUAGAAUAUAGAUAAAUUGUGCUAAUUUUGAUUAAAAUAUUAGAAUGUUUUUUUUAAUAAAAACGUUCUUUUCCCUU
Molecule: ribosomal RNA, 136 nt
Filed under: Plasmodium malariae
Lineage: Eukaryota; Apicomplexa; Aconoidasida; Haemosporida; Plasmodiidae
Description: partial 18S ribosomal RNA
Source: RNAcentral